This 797-nucleotide ribosomal RNA is filed under the name uncultured bacterium. Its description in RNAcentral is "bacterial SSU rRNA". It matches the Rfam family "Bacterial small subunit ribosomal RNA", at positions 8 to 794 of the family's 1533-position model. The record is from RNAcentral.
AGAGUUUGAUCAUGGCUCAGAUUGAACGCUGGCGGCAGGCCUAACACAUGCAAGUCGAGCGGUAGCACAAGAGAGCUUGCUCUCUGGGUGACGAGCGGCGGACGGGUGAGUAAUGUCUGGGAAACUGCCUGAUGGAGGGGGAUAACUACUGGAAACGGUAGCUAAUACCGCAUAACGUCUUCGGACCAAAGUGGGGGACCUUCGGGCCUCACGCCAUCAGAUGUGCCCAGAUGGGAUUAGCUAGUAGGUGGGGUAAUGGCUCACCUAGGCGACGAUCCCUAGCUGGUCUGAGAGGAUGACCAGCCACACUGGAACUGAGACACGGUCCAGACUCCUACGGGAGGCAGCAGUGGGGAAUAUUGCACAAUGGGCGCAAGCCUGAUGCAGCCAUGCCGCGUGUGUGAAGAAGGCCUUCGGGUUGUAAAGCACUUUCAGCGAGGAGGAAGGGUAGUGUGUUAAUAGCACAUUGCAUUGACGUUACUCGCAGAAGAAGCACCGGCUAACUCCGUGCCAGCAGCCGCGGUAAUACGGAGGGUGCAAGCGUUAAUCGGAAUUACUGGGCGUAAAGCGCACGCAGGCGGUUUGUUAAGCCAGAUGUGAAAUCCCCGCGCUUAACGUGGGAACUGCAUUUGAAACUGGCAAGCUAGAGUCUUGUAGAGGGGGGUAGAAUUCCAGGUGUAGCGGUGAAAUGCGUAGAGAUCUGGAGGAAUACCGGUGGCGAAGGCGGCCCCCUGGACAAAGACUGACGCUCAGGUGCGAAAGCGUGGGGAGCAAACAGGAUUAGAUACCCCGGUAGU